This 501-nucleotide ribosomal RNA is filed under the name Pristimantis pardalis (leopard robber frog). RNAcentral's name for it is "partial 16S ribosomal RNA". It matches the Rfam family "Bacterial large subunit ribosomal RNA", at positions 1836 to 2597 of the family's 2925-position model. The record is from RNAcentral. Lineage: Eukaryota; Metazoa; Chordata; Amphibia; Anura; Strabomantidae.
CGCCUCUUGAUAAGAGGUCCAGCCUGCCCAGUGACGUUCAACGGCCGCAGUAUCUUAACCGCGCGAAGGUAGCGUAAUCACUUGUUUUCUAAAUAAAGACUAGUAUGAAAGGCACCACGAGUAUUAAACUGUCUCCUUUUUCCAAUCAGUGAACCUAAUCUCUCCGUGAAGAAGCGGAGAUUUUAACAUAAGACGAGAAGACCCUGUGGAGCUUAAAACACCUUUAUCACCUGCACUUUGACUAAAUGUUUUUGGUUGGGGUGACCGCGGAGAAAAACCCAACCUCCGUAAUGAGUAACUAUAAGCUACAGCUUUAAAUAUCAAAAAAUUGACACCAUCGACCCAAUUAUUGAUCAAUGAACCAAGUUACCCCAGGGAUAACAGCACAAUCCACUUUAAGAGCCCCUAUCGACAAGUGGGCUUAUGACCUCGAUGUUGGAUCGGGGUAUCCUAGUGGUGCAGCCGCUACUAAGGGUUCGUUUGUUCAACGAUUAAAACCCC